UACAGAGGUCUCAAGCGUUGUUCGGAUUCAUUGGGCGUAAAGGGUGCGUAGGCGGCGCGGUAAGUCGGGUGUGAAAUCUCGGAGCUUAACUCCGAAACUGCAUUCGAUACUGCCGUGCUUGAGGACUGGAGAGGAGACUGGAAUUUACGGUGUAGCGGUGAAAUGCGUAGAUAUCGUAAGGAAGACCAGUGGCGAAGGCGGGUCUCUGGACAGUUCCUGACACUGAGACACGAAGGCCAGGGGAGAAAACGGG
Molecule: ribosomal RNA, 253 nt
Filed under: uncultured bacterium
Lineage: Bacteria
Description: partial 16S ribosomal RNA
Rfam family: Bacterial small subunit ribosomal RNA
Source: RNAcentral